This is a non-coding RNA of Punica granatum (pomegranate), 549 nucleotides long. The record is from RefSeq and is a predicted model, not a curated record. NCBI's taxonomy places the organism in Eukaryota, Viridiplantae, Streptophyta, Magnoliopsida, Myrtales, Lythraceae.
AUUAUUGAACCCUCUGCGCCCCGAGCCCCCACCUAUAAAUACCAGAUGUUCAUACCAAGAGUUGCUCAACACAUCCAUUCCAUUUUGUAAGAUACAUAGAGAAAAGAGAGCAGCAGCAGCACAUUUUAGAGUUUGAAUUAUGGCAGGCGUCAACGUUGUUGGGAAGAGCUCGUGGCCGGAGCUGGUAGGGAAAAAUGGGGGGGACGCAGCGGCAACAAUAAUAAGAGAGAAUCCAAAAGUGUUUGUGGUGAUUAUCCCCCCCUUGGUCACUCCCAUUAUUGGCGACUCCGACGGCACUCGUGUCCGCGUCGUCGUCGAUGACCGCUUCAUUGUCACCAAUGUCCCUACUAUUGGAUAAACAAUCGUGUUACUAAAUUAAAUAAUAUAAAUAAGAGCUCCUCAGUAUGUUAAUUAGAGGAGCCCAACGCUCUUGAAUGUGAUGAAAUAAAUGUUGUUUAACUUCUGGAUCUGUCUUAAUCUAGUUAUAAUAUUUUGUUUACGUCUCCUCUUCAUAUAUUUCAAGUAUACUAAAAGAAGAAUGAUUUGCCU